UUUGUUUCGGUUCAAUCCAAGGUGCUCGAAAAGCGAGACCUCAUUCGACGCAGUCGAUGCAUGGAGGAUCGAAGAAUCAUGCUUCUUUCGCUCACGGAUAAAGCGACCAGACGUCUAACGCCUCUCAUUCCGACUCGCGCGCGACUUCAAGGAUCCAUUCGCGGUGACCUCGAUGGUUCCGCCCUCCUGCAGCUAUCAAACAUG
Molecule: unclassified non-coding RNA, 204 nt
Filed under: Hevea brasiliensis (rubber tree)
Lineage: Eukaryota; Viridiplantae; Streptophyta; Magnoliopsida; Malpighiales; Euphorbiaceae
Source: RNAcentral